Molecule: transfer RNA, 57 nt
Filed under: Ovis aries (sheep)
Lineage: Eukaryota; Metazoa; Chordata; Mammalia; Artiodactyla; Bovidae
Rfam family: tRNA
About the family: Transfer RNA (tRNA) molecules are approximately 80 nucleotides in length. Their secondary structure includes four short double-helical elements and three loops (D, anti-codon, and T loops).
Source: Rfam by way of RNAcentral
UGGCUCAGAUGGUAAAGCGUCUGCCUACAGUGCAGGAGACCUGGGUUCAAUCCCUAG